This 478-nucleotide ribosomal RNA is filed under the name uncultured soil bacterium. RNAcentral describes it as "bacterial SSU rRNA". It matches the Rfam family "Bacterial small subunit ribosomal RNA", at positions 26 to 518 of the family's 1533-position model. The record is from RNAcentral.
AGGAUGAACGCUGGCGGCGUGCUUAACACAUGCAAGUCGAACGAUGAACCUCGCUUGCGGGGGGAUUAGUGGCGAACGGGUGAGUAACACGUGAGUAACCUGCCCUUAACUCUGGGAUAAGCCUUGGAAACGAGGUCUGAUACUGGAUAUUGACUUUUCCUCGCAUGGGGAUUGGUUGAAAGAUUUAUUGGUUUUGGAUGGACUCGCGGCCUAUCAGCUUGUUGGUGUGGUAAUGGCUCACCAAGGCGACGACGGGUAGCCGGCCUGAGAGGGUGAUCGGCCACACUGGGACUGAGACACGGCCCAGACUCCUACGGGAGGCAGCAGUGGGGAAUAUUGCACAAUGGGCGAAAGCCUGAUGCAGCGACGCCGCGUGGGGGAUGGACGGUCUUCGGAUUGUAAACCCCUUUCAGUAGGACGAAGCGCAAGUGACGGUACCUGCAGAAGAAGCACCGGCUAACUACGUGUCAGCAGCCGC